GAUUAGCUCAGUUGGUUAGAGCAUGGUGUUAAUAAGAACAAGGUUAUGGGUUCAAUUCCCAUAUGGGCCA
Non-coding RNA from Lamprotornis superbus, 70 nucleotides. The record is from the annotation of a GenBank genome assembly. Lineage: Eukaryota; Metazoa; Chordata; Aves; Passeriformes; Sturnidae.